RNAcentral lists this small RNA (170 nucleotides) under Gopherus agassizii (Agassiz's desert tortoise). Its description in RNAcentral is "TUC338 (ENSGAGG00000016262.1)". The record is from RNAcentral. Lineage: Eukaryota; Metazoa; Chordata; Testudines; Testudinidae.
CAGACAGCCCUGGAGAGUGAAGGCUCCUAUUUAUUCACAGAACAAAUACAGCAGCAACUCAAGAUUCCCAACGCUUCCCUGCCAAUGUCCUUCUUCCUUGUCCUAGAGGGACCCCCUAUUGGGCUAAAAGGGGAAUUUACUUUCCCAUCCAGUUCUUUGCCUCUGCUGAC